AUUGAACGCUGGCGGCAUGCCUUACACAUGCAAGUCGAACGGUAACAGGUUAAGCUGACGAGUGGCGAACGGGUGAGUAAUAUAUCGGAACGUGCCCAGUCGUGGGGGAUAACGCAGCGAAAGCUGUGCUAAUACCGCAUACGAUCUACGGAUGAAAGCGGGGGACUCGCAAGAGCCUCGCGCGAUUGGAGCGGCCGAUAUCAGAUUAGCUAGUUGGUGGGGUAAAAGCCCACCAAGGCGACGAUCUGUAGCUGGUCUGAGAGGACGACCAGCCACACUGGAACUGAGACACGGUCCAGACUCCUACGGGAGGCAGCAGUGGGGAAUUUUGGACAAUGGGCGCAAGCCUGAUCCAGCAAUGCCGCGUGCAGGAUGAAGGCCUUCGGGUUGUAAACUGCCUUUGUACGGAACGAAACGGUCCCUUCUAAUACAAGGGGCUAAUGACGGUACCGUAAGAAUAAGCACCGGCCAACUACGUGCCAGCAGCCGCGGUAAUACGUAGGGUGCGAGCGUUAAUCGGAAUUACUGGGCGUAAAGCGUGCGCAGGCGGUUAUAUAAGACAGAUGUGAAAUCCCCGGGCUCAACCUGGGACCUGCAUAUGUGACUGUAUAGCUAGAGUACGGUAGAGGGGGAUGGAAUUCCGCGUGUAGCAGUGAAAUGCGUAGAUAUGCGGAGGAACACCGAUGGCGAAGGCAAUCCCCUGGACCUGUACUGACGCUCAUGCACGAAAGCGUGGGGAGCAAACAGGAUUAGAUACCCUGGUAGUCCACGCCCUAAACGAUGUCAACUGGUUGUUGGGUCUUCACUGACUCAGUAACGAAGCU
RNAcentral lists this ribosomal RNA (824 nucleotides) under uncultured bacterium. RNAcentral describes it as "bacterial SSU rRNA". It matches the Rfam family "Bacterial small subunit ribosomal RNA", at positions 28 to 853 of the family's 1533-position model. The record is from RNAcentral.